This is a non-coding RNA of Chrysemys picta bellii (western painted turtle), 509 nucleotides long. The record is from the annotation of a RefSeq genome assembly. Lineage: Eukaryota; Metazoa; Chordata; Testudines; Emydidae.
GCAGAGAGGUAAGUGACUUCAUCAGGUUCACAGAGGAAGCCUGUGGCCGAACUAGGAAUGGACCCCAAGUGUCCAGAUUCCCAGUCCUUAACCGGGAGAACAUCUCAGAUAAUUACCCUGCCACGGCGCUUGUGAAAGGUUGGAUUUCUUACACUGUCGAGAUCUGGAAUUUCUUACGUUCUGCACUGCUAGUCUCUGGUUUUGGGUUUUCUAACACUGAGUUUCCUUGUCUUAUAGGUCAGCCAAAGGCAUCUCCUACAGUGCACCUCUUCCCUCCAUCCUCUGAAGAGAUAAAAACAAAGAGCAAAGCCACACUGGUGUGUCUGCUGGGCAGCUUUUACCCAGGGGCAGUCCAAGUCACCUGGAAAGCUGAUGGCCAGCAGAUCUCCACUGGAGUGGAGACGACCAAGCCAUCCAAACAGAGUGACAACAAGUACAUGGCCAGCAGUUACCUGUCUCUGGAUGCAUCAAAGUGGAAGACCCAUGAAACCUACACCUGUGAGGUGACA